CGCUCCGCCCCCGCGCUCCGCCCCCAACUCUCCUCUCGAGACGAGAUCCAGAAGGCCUCGAACAUCUUCGCAGCGCACCUGUUGCUGCCAUCCUUCAGGAAGAAGUGGCAGCCCCUGACCCAGAUCCUUUCAAAGGUCAGGCAGCCGCCGCAGCCACCUUUUCUUCGCUAGGACCCCGGAGAGCCACGGAGCCGGGGACCUUCAGGCCGGAAGUUGUCUCCCCAAGAAUUGGAAGAUGCCGGAGACCCGGAAGCUGCAGUGUUGGCGGAGGCGCAGCUGGGGGCGUUGUCGCCUUGGACUUUUCGCGCGAAGCAAAGUGGCUCUGAGAGCUACUUUCUUUUCACAAAUAAAUUUAAUUUAUUCCUGGGCUGCGGGUUCAGUCCCUGGCAGCCGUGGGUCCUGGACCACGUUCCCGUCACAGUUCAGUUGCCCUGGAAACGGAGCCCCCGGCACAGAUGUGGUUUUGAGCGUUUGCUAAGUGCCUGGCUCUGCUCUUGUGCACUUUUACAGAGCCCAGACCAAACCCCGCCGGAAUAAGCACCUGGAAAAGUGGUGGAAGCGACUACAGCUUUGUGGAGACUUGCAACUUCUCGCUUCCCAUUGUGGCCUUCAUUAAAACUACGCUUGGUUCUAGGAAUCCUAAGACCGAAGAGGCACAAUCUCUCCCUUGGACUUGGAAGAGUUUAUAGAGGCAGUGCAUAACAUGUAUGAUGAUUCGGGCAUUAGUAAGAGUCACAAGCCCAGAUUCCCACAGGAUAUAGCCAGAUGUCGUAAUAAGACUUAGAGGGAGGCAUAUCUCACACAAGAGCUUGCACACCCAAUCAUCACACUUAUGAACCGAAGGAUCUAACUCUUUUCUUUAGGGUCUUGCUAUGUACAUUGCAAGUGAACAUAUUCUUUAGUAAUGAAGAAGAAAUUCCAAGUUUGGAUUCUCCUGUCUUAGCCUCCUGAGUUGCUGACCUUAGAGGUGUGUACCACAGUGCCUGGAUUCAUUGUAAUUUCUGAGAAGCCAAUUGUUUCCCAAAGGAUUUGUUUAAAAAUAUUAAAUUUCGCAUUUCUUCUUAACCAAGAACAAAAUGGAAUUAAACAUGUGCAAAAUGACUGAAUGUCAAGUAACUAGUUAUACAGCCAGCUCAUUUACACUGAAUUAGUAAUUUACUCAGUCUGCAAUUUAUGUUAAUUAAGGAAAGACUAUUUUAUUCGUUAUACAUUUACAUAAUGAUAUAAAUGUCUCAUUCUCUUCUCUGCAAAUGUUAUUAUUAUCUCAAGUUUCAGCUCUUUUCUACUAUUAUCCUCUUAGAGUAAUCCAUACAAUGUUGUCAUUUUCAUUAUACUUUUGCUGGCAUGUAAUCGACAAUAUUCAACUUAAAAGUUAAGUAAGUUUUAAAAACACACAGGCUUCCCUUGGCUUAUAAAGCCAAGGGAAUUUACGCUCUACAUAAAGUUAUAUUUAACAAAGAUUAGACAGCCACCCUAAUAUAU
Molecule: non-coding RNA, 1482 nt
Organism: Ictidomys tridecemlineatus (thirteen-lined ground squirrel)
Lineage: Eukaryota; Metazoa; Chordata; Mammalia; Rodentia; Sciuridae
Source: RefSeq, a predicted model, not a curated record